UUUCCCAUUCCGCAAGGAAGUAAGAUCCCUGAAAGAUGAUCAGGUUGAUAGGUCUGAGGUGGAAGUGUGGCGACACAUGGAGCUGACAGAUACUAAUCGAUCGAGGACUUAACCUAA
RNAcentral lists this ribosomal RNA (117 nucleotides) under Robertmurraya crescens. RNAcentral's name for it is "partial 23S ribosomal RNA". It matches the Rfam family "Bacterial large subunit ribosomal RNA", at positions 2810 to 2925 of the family's 2925-position model. Lineage: Bacteria; Bacillati; Bacillota; Bacilli; Caryophanales; Bacillaceae. The record is from RNAcentral.